Molecule: ribosomal RNA, 399 nt
Filed under: uncultured bacterium
Lineage: Bacteria
Description: partial 16S ribosomal RNA
Rfam family: Bacterial small subunit ribosomal RNA
Source: RNAcentral
AAUAUUGCACAAUGGAGGGAACUCGGAUGCAGCAACGCCGCGUGAGUGAAGAAGGUUUUCGGAUCGGAAAAAUAUGUCAUUGGGGAAGAAUAAAUGACGGUACCCAAUGAGCAAUCCCCGGCUCACUACGUGCCAGCAGCCGCGGUAAUACGUAGGGGGCGAGCGUUGUCCGGAAUUACUGGGCGUAAAGGGUACGUAGGCGGCUAUAUAAGUCAGGUGUGAAAUACCAGUGCUUAACACUGGAAUUGCAUUUGAAACUGUGUAGCUUGAGUGCAGGAGAGGAAAGUGGAAUUCCUAGUGUAGCGGUGAAAUGCGUAGAGAUUAGGAGGAACACCAGUGGCGAAGACGACUUUCUGGACUGUAACUGACGCGGAGGUACGAAAGCGUGGGUAGCGAACA